This 71-nucleotide transfer RNA is filed under the name Culex quinquefasciatus (southern house mosquito). It matches the Rfam family "tRNA". From Rfam's summary of the family: Transfer RNA (tRNA) molecules are approximately 80 nucleotides in length. Their secondary structure includes four short double-helical elements and three loops (D, anti-codon, and T loops). The record is from Rfam by way of RNAcentral. Lineage: Eukaryota; Metazoa; Arthropoda; Insecta; Diptera; Culicidae.
GGGACCGUGGUGUAGGGGUAAGCGUGGUUGUCUCUCACCCAGUCGGCUUAGGUUCGAUCCCAAAGGUCCCG